GCCAGGUGUGGUGGCUCAUGCCUGUAAUCCCAGCACCUUGGGAGGCCGAGGUGGGUGGAUCACUUGAGGUCAGGAGUUCCAGACCAGCCUGGCCAACAUGGUGAAACCCCAUCUCUA
This 117-nucleotide small RNA is filed under the name Pongo abelii (Sumatran orangutan). RNAcentral's name for it is "Metazoan signal recognition particle RNA (ENSPPYG00000033567.1)". The record is from Rfam by way of RNAcentral. Lineage: Eukaryota; Metazoa; Chordata; Mammalia; Primates; Hominidae.